UAUCAAUAAGCGGAGGAAAAGAAACCAACAGGGAUUGCCCCAGUAACGGCGAGUGAAGCGGCAGCAGCUCAAAUUUGAAAUCUGGCGCCCCCCCGGGGCGCCCGAGUUGUACUUUGCAGAGGAUGCUUUUGGCGAGGCGCCUUCCGAGUUCCCUGGAACGGGACGCCGCAGAGGGUGAGAGCCCCGUCUGGUCGGCCGCCGAGCCUCUGUAAAGCUCCUUCGACGAGUCGAGUAGUUUGGGAAUGCUGCUCUAAAUGGGAGGUAUAUGUCUUCUAAAGCUAAAUACCGGCCAGAGACCGAUAGCGCACAAGUAGAGUGAUCGAAAGAUGAAAAGCACCUUGAAAAGGGGGUUAAACAGUACGUGAAAUUGUUGAAAGGGAAGCGCUCGCGACCAGACGUGGCCCGGGCGGAUCACCCGGCGGUCCCCCGCCGGUGCACUCCGCCCUGGCCAGGCCAGCAUCAGCUCGCGCCGGGGGACAAAGGCGGCGGGAACGUGGCUCCCCAGGGAGUGUUAUAGCCCGCCGCGCAAUGCCCUGGGGCGGGCUGAGGUUCGCGCUUAGGCACGGAUGCUGGCGUAAUGGUCGCCAGCGGCCCGUCUUGAAACACGGACCAAGGAGUCGUCUUCGUAUGCGAGUGUUCGGGUGGCAAACCCCUACGCGGAAUGAAAGUGAACGCGGGUGAGAGCUUCGGCGCAUCAUCGACCGAUCCUGAUGUCCUCGGAUGGAUUUGAGUAGGAGCAUACGGGGCCGGACCCGAAAGAAGGUGAACUAUGCCUGCGUAGGGUGAAGCCAGAGGAAACUCUGGUGGAGGCUCGCAGCGGUUCUGACGUGCAAAUCGAUCGUCAAACGUGGGCAUGGGGGCGAAAGACUAAUCGAACCUUCUAGUAGCUGGUUUC
This 895-nucleotide ribosomal RNA is filed under the name Aschersonia oxystoma. RNAcentral's name for it is "eukaryotic LSU rRNA". It matches the Rfam family "Eukaryotic large subunit ribosomal RNA", at positions 41 to 958 of the family's 3401-position model. Lineage: Eukaryota; Fungi; Ascomycota; Sordariomycetes; Hypocreales; Clavicipitaceae. The record is from RNAcentral.